GAUGAACGCUGGCGGCGUGCCUAAUACAUGCAAGUCGAGCGAACAGACGAGGAGCUUGCUCCUCUUACGUUAGCGGCGGACGGGUGAGUAACACGUGGAUAACCUACCUAUAAGACUGGGAUAACUUCGGGAAACCGGAGCUAAUACCGGAUAAUAUAUUGAACCGCAUGGUUCAAUAGUGAAAGACGGUUUUGCUGUCACUUAUAGAUGGAUCCGCGCCGCAUUAGCUAGUUGGUAAGGUAACGGCUUACCAAGGCGACGAUGCGUAGCCGACCUGAGAGGGUGAUCGGCCACACUGGAACUGAGACACGGUCCAGACUCCUACGGGAGGCAGCAGUAGGGAAUCUUCCGCAAUGGGCGAAAGCCUGACGGAGCAACGCCGCGUGAGUGAUGAAGGUCUUCGGAUCGUAAAACUCUGUUAUUAGGGAAGAACAAAUGUGUAAGUAACUAUGCACGUAUUGACGGUACCUAAUCAGAAAGCCACGGCUAACUACGUG
RNAcentral lists this ribosomal RNA (497 nucleotides) under uncultured bacterium. RNAcentral describes it as "partial 16S ribosomal RNA". It matches the Rfam family "Bacterial small subunit ribosomal RNA", at positions 28 to 507 of the family's 1533-position model. The record is from RNAcentral.